RNAcentral lists this long non-coding RNA (384 nucleotides) under Triticum aestivum (bread wheat). Its description in RNAcentral is "long non-coding RNA (TAES_LNC004180)". The record is from RNAcentral. Lineage: Eukaryota; Viridiplantae; Streptophyta; Magnoliopsida; Poales; Poaceae.
ACCUGGGCUAGGAUACUGACCAGAAACCCCUUGCAAGUUAUCCCCUCCAUAUGCAGGCGCUGCACCCUGUCUGUUGUCUCCACCAUAACCAGGACCCCCUUGGUUACCUCCAGGAUAUCUCGACCCAGACGGUUGUCCAUAAGCUGGAGGUCCAGAUGGCUUCCCAUAGGAUCCAGGAGCAGGUGGUUGACCAUAAUUUCCAGGUGCAGGCGGUUGACCGUAAUUUCCAGGUGCAGGUGGUUGACCAUAAUUUCCAGGUGCAGGCGGUUGACCAUAAUUUCCAGGUGCUGAAGGGCCACCAGGCCUGAGAUCUCCUUCCUGUCCUUGCGAGAAACUCCUGCGCUCUUGUGGAUCUUGGAAACCUUGACCGGCUUCAUUUACACG